GCUCGUAGUUGGUUCUGCGUGCCGCGCUGUCGGUUCGCCGCCUGUCGGUGUAACUGGCAUGUCGCGGCAUGUCCUGUCGGUGGUGAACGGAGUCCACGACGCUACAUGGGCUUUAUAGUCGAUGUUAGCAUCGUGUGUACUUCCGUUGGCCGAUCUCUCCUACUUCGGUGCUCUUAAACGAGUGUCGAGGUAGGCCGACACGUUCACUUUGAACAAAUUAGAGUGCUUAAAGCAGGCUGAAAUAUCUGCCUGAAUAGUGGUGCAUGGAAUGAUAAAACAGGACCUCGGUUCUAUUUUGUUGGUUUUAGGAAUAUGAGGUAAUGAUCAAUGUGGACUGGCGGGGGCAUUCGUAUUGCGACGUUAGAGGUGAAAUUCUUGGAUCGUCGCAAGACGCACUAGAGCGAAAGCAUUUGCCAAGUAUGUCUUAAUUGAUCAAGAACGAAAGUUAGAGGUUCGAAGGCGAUCAGAUACCGCCCUAGUUCUAACCAUAAACGAU
Molecule: ribosomal RNA, 496 nt
Filed under: Triatoma guazu
Lineage: Eukaryota; Metazoa; Arthropoda; Insecta; Hemiptera; Reduviidae
Description: SSU rRNA
Rfam family: Eukaryotic small subunit ribosomal RNA
Source: RNAcentral